UACGAAGGGGGCUAGCGUUGCUCGGAAUUAUUGGGCGUAAAGAGCUCGUAGGCGGCCUGUUACGUCUGCUGUGAAAUCCCGGGGCUUAACCCCGGGCGUGCAGUGGAUACGGGCAGGCUGGAGGCAGGCAGGGGAGAACGGAAUUCCCGGUGUGGCGGUGAAAUGCGCAGAUAUCGGUAGGAACACCAGUGGCGAAGGCGGUCUCCUGGAGCAGACUUGACGCUGAGGCGCGAAAGCUGGGGGAGCGAACGGG
This 253-nucleotide ribosomal RNA is filed under the name uncultured bacterium. RNAcentral describes it as "partial 16S ribosomal RNA". It matches the Rfam family "Bacterial small subunit ribosomal RNA", at positions 524 to 776 of the family's 1533-position model. The record is from RNAcentral.